Molecule: long non-coding RNA, 6052 nt
Filed under: Sus scrofa (pig)
Lineage: Eukaryota; Metazoa; Chordata; Mammalia; Artiodactyla; Suidae
Description: lncRNA (ENSSSCG00015016778.1)
Source: RNAcentral
UUUUUUUUUUUUUUUUUUGGUUGCUACCUAUACAUUCCUAGAACAAAUCUGUCUGAGCAGAUCAACUCUUCAGUGUCCAGUGGCUUUGGCUGACAGAUCACAUCCAAAACGAACACUUACCCAGUGUGAGGAGGGGAGAGUGGGCAGUAGACUGACAUGAGCCAGCUCAUAGACCAUGUGCAAAUGAAUCAGCUUGCAGUCAAGCCCGCCUGCCCUCCCACUCUCCCAUCCUCUUCAACUUGCAGCCCAGCUGUCAGUGCUGCCCACCCCUCGCCUGCCAACCACAGAACAACACCAAGUGGCCUGGCCUAUUUUUUCUUCCUAUGUCCUAUGGAGUUGCCACCUCACCACCAUGCAAAGAACAGGCACCCUGGGUAUUCCAUGUCAUUAUUUUUCUAUUGGUCAUCUCAUGCUGCUCGUUUAAUUUUAGCAAUGUGCAUUGAAGAAUUGUCCAUUUAUGUUCUUAAAAGGUAAGAGAGUCCACUGGGCUUGCUCCCAUAUUUGAAUGUUCCUUUCCAGUAACAGUGUGAGCUGCCUGGUUUGAUGGAUUUUUGCAGCUGUGAUCUUUGACAUAUAAAAUGUGGUACCGAACCUUUAAAUCCUGGGUUAUUUGGGGGUAAAAAUAAAAAGCACCUUCCCAGGAGUUAUAUUUCUUGAUGAUUAAUGCUUAUAAAAACAACAUGGGCUAAGAUAUAGGAAACUAUCAGAUGACAAGGAUGUAGCUCUUCACACGUAUUGCAGGAAUUUCAUUUUUAUCCUACCUGCUCCCCCCCAAAUUCCUCCUCACUACCCCCUACUCCACCAAGGAAACCUUGCAGUGUAGAAAGGGGAGAAACCAGAAGGAUUCUUCCACAUUUCGGCUUAAAUGAUAAUCAUAUUUUCCUUCUUUUCCACGACAGCCUAUUCCCCCCACACACACACACACACAAAGAUGCUUUGCUUUCUUAAGACUUUGUGAGGGAAAUCAAGGAGGGUGGGUGAGUGGAAGAAGAGGAAGGAGGCUUAAGAGGGUAGAAUUGUGUAACCUGAUGCACCCCGUCUACUCCAAAGAGAGAACAGACAGCACUUCCAGAGAACACCCACUUCCUUUUGCUACAUUCCACUGAAUUUUUUAAAAAUAGAUUUUAUAUUUAGAGGCGUUUUAGGUUUACAGCAAACGGAACAGAAGGUACAGAAGUCUACCUCCUGUUCCCUGAUAUGUAGAAGAGCCCCCAUUAUCAACACCCCUCGGUAGAGGAGCACUGGUUACAAAUGGUGAAUCUGCAGUCACAUCAUUAUUAUCCCAAGUCCACUGUUCACUCUAGACAGAGUUCCCUCUGGGUGUUGGCCUUUCUAUGGCUUUUGAGAGACAUAUAAUGAUACGUGUCUACAAUCAUACUAUUGUAUGGAGUAGUUUUACUGCCUGUGGACUGAAGUUUGGCUCUUGCCAUCUCCAUGGAUUAAGUCAUGAGCCACUGCAGCUGCCGACCAGGAGUGAGGCUCUCUGUGCUCUGGGAAAACUGGAAGAACAGGUCUUCAGAGAGUCAGAUAUUUUUAGGAGAAGAGUUUAUGUGCCCAAUUCUUGCAUCUCCUCAUAUCUAGAAAAAGACUAAAAUCCUUUGUGGUCAUGUCUGCUCCUUACGGCUGGUAGUGACCUUCUGGAGAUCAGCAACCAACUUUGGUAAAAUGAGUGCCUGCUGCAUGCACCUCCCCCUCACCCUUAUCAUAUCUUGAUAGUCCCCCUUUCCUCUUUGGGAAUAUUUCAAGUAUCUGAAAACAGGCUGUAGUUAAGGAUCAAACAAAGACUGUCGCAGUCAUCUGUGAAUGUGGUCACCUCCAAGGGUGAGAGCCGUUGAGUCCCAAAGUUUGUGGAAACUCAGACUACUGGCCCAGAUAGUGGAGCAAAGGAUGAUUUCAGUGAGCCCAGACCUCUUUGGUCCCCGCUACCUGCCCUUGGUUGCAAAAACUCCUGUAUAUCGUAGCUCCUCCAGCACCAGCCUGGAGGGGAUUCUCAGGGCUGCCAGAGAUGCUGUCUCCCAGGCUUAAGUCCUAAUUUUGCCCCAAAGAAAACUUAACUCUCAACUUUCAGCCCUAAAACUCUUCCAGGCUCUGCCUGUUCACCCCCUCUCCUACACAACCCCUGGCAACCACGUGUUUUAUUUUCUGCACAUUUUACUUUUUCCAGAAUGUUAUAUGUUUAGAAUCAUAUGGUUUGUAGACGUUCCAGACUGACCUCUUUCACUUAGAAUCAUGCAUGUAUGUUUCUUCCGUGUCUUUUCAUGGCCUUCACACUAUAUUUUCAUUGAUUAUAGAUGUGGAUACUAACCAAAUCCAAAGGUGCAGUUAAAGCGAACAUAAGGUCCAGGGACUAGAUGACAUCAGUUUCCCAAGAAAGAACUAGAAAGAAAGCAGUAAAGCAGUAUCUUCCUUUGCCUUUAACACCAAUUUUGCCCCUAGUAAUUUUAAACAAAACAUCAAAAACAAAGUAUGGGAGGCUGUGGAGCCCAGUAAAAAGAGCCAGAGAGACCUGGCUGGAUUCCCAUUCCCAUGUACCUGUGAGAUUUGGGGCAAGUUCCUCAGGCUUUCUGAUCCUCAGUUUUCUUACCUAUAAAAAGAGACUGUUUCACGCAAUCCCAGCCCAGUGCCCUGCACACCACAAGCACUCACAAAAAUUAAUAAAGUAGGGAGUUCCCACUGUGGCACACUGGAAACGAAUCUGACUAGUAUCCAUGAGGUUGCUGGUUCGAUCCCUGGCCUCGCUCAGUGGUUGGGGAUCUGGCAUUGCCAUGAGCUGUGGUGUAGGUCGCAGAUGCAGCUCGGAUCCCAUGUUGCUGUGGCUGUGGUGUAGGCCAGCAGCUGUAGCUCCAAACUGACCCCUAGUCUGGGAACUUCCAUACGCCAUGGGUGCAGCCCUUAAAAGCAAAAAAGUAAUAUAAAGAAAAAAUUCGUAAAUAUCUUAAAGCAGAUUUGUGGCCAUAUAUAACGAUUAAUAAUUAGGCAUUCUCUCCCCAUGAACUUAAAACUGAAGAAAACGAACAUGUCCUCUGAACUAGAAAAAUGAUAUAUGAUGGUUGCAUUAACCUACCAAUUGUACAUAAUAGAUCUAUGGACUUUGGGAAAGCUCAAAACUGAAAUCAGAGUGAUGAUGAUAUGGCAAGCAAAAGCUGUUUCAGUUGAAUUGUACCAUGUCUAAAGAAGGACUAAAUGAACUGAAGGACGAUGGUCAGAUGGGGGGGAAAAAAAGACUCCAAUAUUCAGAGAUUAGCAGUCGUGUCCAGCCCACUUGGAAAGGGUGACAGGGAGUAUGGAGCCUGUGAGCUCCCCACAUAGAUUACCGUAUUGUAGAGCAGGUAUGCUUCAAUGGGCCUCCUCCCUGGCUUGGAGGAAAUAUACCUUCAAAUUAUUCCAGCUCCCUCUGCACUGAUCACAUGCUUGCCAAACAAUUUUCUGAUUAUUCCUUUAGCUUUUGGGUAUAUUGAUUCCAGAGGGGAAACAGUGUCCCGAAUAAUGAGUACGACCUUCCUGCUCCAGAAAAUAACAUGUCCUGUUGGACAUUUUUGUUGUUGAUCUGGGUUAUCUACGUCAACCUCUUUUCAGUUGGAUGGACACACUACUUCAAGUCCAAGGCGUACUGGGAACGUGAAGGAGUCAGAGAUAGUCUGAACCACAGUAAUUCACCACCUGACUGGUCUUUCUUGGUCAGUCCGUCUUCUCUGGGUGGCAUCUUACCUUCCUCUCACUACUUCUAAUGGUAACUUGUCUUCUAUUUAGCAUGUUUAAUUUCCACUUGAAAACAGAAGGAAUUUUUCAAAUGAAGACAAGGUUCUCACAGGAAACAAAAGGAAGGAAAUGACCCUUUAGGUCAAUAGAAUAGGGAAGAAAUUCUUCCAAUUUUUCGGUUAUUUUCAUAGGGAUGGGACAAUAAUUCUCAAAGCAAAAAUUCUCAAAAUGUAACAGAUUUUAAAACAAGAAGAUAAGAGAUAGGUCACAAAAUGAACGACAGAGAAAGCGGUUCUCAGAGAUGGGGAUAAUACUUCCCAAAGCAAAAUAAAACAUAAAUAUUUUAAAAACAAGAAAGUAAAAUAUGUGCCCCCCAAAAAAAGAAAUACACAGAGAAUUCUGUUUUGAGAAAGGGUUAUUAUGAAACAAAAAUGAAGAUCUCUGUUAUAGUGCUUGCCAAUGAGAAAUUUACAGAAUAUAAGAUAAAUGGCCUUGAAAGCGGAACCAAAUUGAAUCCAUUUUAGUGGACUAUUCAAGAUAGAGAACCAUCUCUCAGGCCCUUUGGAAAAUAAUGGAAUUCAAGUGCAGUACUAAUCCAAUAACAAUUUUCAAGAGUCAAUAUCAGUUAUUUAGUGUGGUGAUAGCCGCAAAGCCAUUACUGUUGACUCCACUUCCAAUGCUCAGAAGUACUGCUUUGCUAUUAAACUAUGGCUUUAGGGGAUAUUUAGACCUCUUCCCCCUAAGCAUCCCUGGUAAUUUAUUCCAGCUGGAAGAUUUGCAUCAAGGAUAAUUUAAAAUCUUCAGGCUCUCUUCUCUCCUGGUGCAGAAGUAUAACUCCCAUUAGCACUAAUGAAAGCUCUCUCUACAUCUCAAGCAGUGGACCGCUCAUAAGUGUUUAAGAACCAAAAUGUUUCAUGUCCUGUGAGAGAAGCCGCAUGAAAGAGAAUCUGGAUACCAUUUAACAAGGUUAAAACGCAAAGUGUGAAUUGUUUUCCAGAUGACAGUACUCCUUAAAAAGUAUGUCAUGUUUCUGUAAAAAGAAAAAAACAAAAACAAAAAAACCCAACAGGGUUCUCACAGAUGCACUAGGAAAAAAAGGAUUCCCAACCAACUUUGAACCUACACAAAGAAUAAGAAAUACUUCUAUUUUUAAAAACUAAGUUUGAAGUUUGAGAUUGCUGUUCUUGCCUUUUCUUUUUUCUUUUUUGUUUUGUUUUGUUUUGUUUCAGAAGAGAGGGAUAUUCGUGCUCUAAGAGUACAAUACUUUAUCUAUGGGAUAUCCGUUUUGCUUAGGUCAGAAGCUCACCAAAUGUUGUGCCAGCCCUAUACCUCCUUUAGCUAGAUUAUUAGGAGGUUAGAGAAAAUUGUUUUGUAAAUUUGUGACUAAAUGUCUGUCAUUUCCCGUCUCCAUGGCACUCAACUGCUGAUGGAUUCUUGUUUUCCUGGCCAGUGUGCUGCUGAAUUUCUCCACUAAAGAACCCUCAACACUCUGAGAAACCUGAAGCCAUUUCUCCCUAAGGCAUGAGCAACCUUGGAGGUGUCUCCUGCAGGUUCAGCUGGUGAGCUUGCCUGGAUGACCAGAACCUCAGGACUCUGCAAGAAUAAAUCUCUUCCAAGCCCUCCAAGCCCUUAAUGAAACAAAGGGGAUAUUCAGUGUUUGCUGAAAAACAGAAACAAUCCUGAGAAAAAUAAAGGAUUUCGUCAUAUUUUGGAAUCAAAUGGCUGUUCAAAAAACUGGGAUGGUCUCCAAGUUUUGAUGUGGGGAAAAAUUUGGUUAUCACAACACUUUUCUCACUGAGUCUAUACAGGCACCAAACAUUGACAUAAAGCGACAUCAUUGCUGAUUAAACACUAUUAGCAUAUUCAGUUGGAAACACAAAUGUAAACACAGAUUUCCAAUGUCUGCAUCACGUACAACUGCAGCAUUCAUCCCUGUGUGGGAUGUACACAGAGUACACAGAGACGGAAGAAGAGCUAGCGUGCACAUCAAAGGAUGUGUACACGAAUACUUAAAGUGGCUUAGGAGGUCUUAUUUAUCGUGUAAAAAAACUGGUUAAGUUCUCUUAUAUUUUUUCCCUUAUAGUUUGUAGCUAUUACAUACUUGCGAUCUUGCCAAGUGGGAGGUGGCUGGGAGCAUAUGUUUAAUAAAAGUGUUUGUGGGCAUGCACGCUCAUGCGUGCGCGCACGCGCACACACACACACACCAUUAAAGCAAGGCUGUGGUUUCUUCUUAAACUGACAGAUGCAAGGCACGUUGGGAAUGGAGGCCAUCCUCUUUUUUAACUCUCGACAUUAUGUUCAGGCACUUGGAGUCAGAGUACAUGAGAGCAAAGGGAAAUAAGCAAGCCUUAUG